AUUAUAUCCUGUUAGAAUAUUUAACUGUUACUGAAUUUUAUCUCCAGGAUAGGCAGAAAUAAUAAAAUCAGUUCUCUGUUAUACUAACGGUUGAGAUGAAAGGCAUGGAUAACAAACUGUACUUAAAGUAGUAUUUAUUUUUCAAAUACAAUCACAAUUUUAAAUAUUUAAUUUUUCUUAUGAAAGUAAUAUGUUUAUUACAGAAACUUUAACAAAAGAAGACAAUAUUAAAUUAUCUGUAAUCUGUCAUGCAGAGAUAGCUGAUAUUUUGAUACUUUUUUUUUCUAACAUACACAUGAUGCAGACACAUUCAUACUCUGACAAGCUCACCUGACCUCCUUUUUCUGCUUGUCAAAUGCAGAUAAAUUACAAAGUAGCUAAUCCACUCUCUAUAAUCAUGGUAUUAAUACUAACUGCUAACAUUUAUUCAUCAUUCUCUGUAUAUCAAGCAGGCACAAAAUUAAACACUUCACAUGCGUUUUCUCUAAACCAUAUUUUUUUUCCUUGUGUUUUUUUUUUUGUUUGUUUGUCCGUUUGUUUUUUUAAAGAGACAGAAUAUUGCUCUGUCACCCAGGCUGGAGUACAGUGGCACAGUCACGGAUCACUGCAUCCUCCAGUUCCUGGGUUCAAGCAAUCCUCCUGCAUCAGCCUCCAGAAUAGCUGGCACUACAGGUGCAUGUCUCCACACCCAGCUAUUUUUUAAAUUUCUUUUUGGAGACAAGGUCUGACUUUGUUGCCAAGGCUGGUCUUGAACUCUUGGCUUUAUGCCAUCCUUUCACCUAGGCCUCCCAAAGUGCUGGGAUUACAGGCUUGAGCCAUUGUGCCUGUCCAGUUAUAUUUUUUAAUGUUAAUAUGUUUGUCAAACAUAAGAAAUUUCAUACCAUUUUACAGAUGUCAAUUUCAUUGAGCUAAUAGAAUCAGGCAGUUGGGUGUAGUUUUCUUGUCUUACUUUACCACUAAUUUAAAAUCUUGAAGACACCUAAUAAAAUUGAGGCUUAUAGGGAGAUUACCUCUCAGAAGAAAUAUUCUAUUUCUGAUAUUUUGCAAAGUGGUAAAGAUCAAAUAUGACACUUUAUGUGCUAGUAUUUUGAGAAGUGUGAUGAUUUGUAUGAAUUUGUCAUGACUGUAUUAUUUAGUAGAAGAAAGAUCUAUGUAUUGAAAAUAAUGUUUUUGUCUAUACAAUAAUGUUUAGGCAUGCCAAUGUUGGAAUAACAUGGUACUUAAAAGAUGAUCAGUAGGAUUCUGUCUACUUUUUAAAAUCACAUACCCUAAAAACAUUAACAUUUACAGUAAAUGUACUGCUUGACUAAAUAUCAGCAUUUGUUAUUAAUCUGGGAAAGAAUGUCUUGGAAAUAGUUUCAGUGUGAUUAAACUAAAUUUAAAUGGUUUGUAUCUGAAAGGUGACCGGCAAGAGUCAGUAUCUUCUGGGCGGUAUGACCUAACCAGUUUUACAGCUCAUCAAUUACUGCUGCUUGCUUUUUGCAUAACACCCCAGAAUGCUUAUCAUUUAAGGGAGAAUAAAACAGUACACUGCAAUAAUGUGUGGUGUGUUGGCUUUGCCUGUCACUCUUUGAAACAAGUUUAAAAUAAACGCUGCAGUUGCUUUUCUAUUACAUUCACUGCAUUAAUGCUACACAUAAUGUCAACCUAAAUACAAAGCUAUAAAGUCAGUUGGAUAAAUAAUGGCUAGUACACAUUGUGAGUGGAGGAAAUGAGCUUCUCUUACAUUCCUCUGAAAUUGCAAAGUACACAUAUUUUAGGCAUGUUUGCUUCUUGCUUUUCUGCUUCUGUCACUGUAAUAUGAUUGCAUCUUUGUGUGAGUUUUGUUUUUCUUUUCUGUACAGUCUUCAGUCUUGAGUAUUGAUUCACUCUAAGUUUUACAUGAACUCAAAAAGUAGUUUGAACAUGUUAUAUAGCAUCUUCCCAGAAAGUCAAAGCUUUAAAUUAAGAGCUUGUACUCUAAGGAUAAAGAUCUUCAUAUUUAUUUUUGUCAAAUUUUGGAAAGCUCUUUACAUAUCACUGGCAUCACAUCUUUUCUACACUGCUCCUGAUUGGACCUUUAAUUCUGAAGUAUCACUAUUUCACAGUAUAGAAGAAGACUUAAGAAUAUAAUAAUUAUAUAACUAACAUUGGUACCUUAAAUCGAUCUAGGAACGAAGAGCUCUAGAAAGAAGAAUAUCUGAAAUGGAAGAAGAGCUCAAAAUGUUACCAGACCUAAAAGCAGACAACCAGAGGCUAAAGGAUGAAAAUGGGGCCUUGAUCAGAGUUAUAAGCAAACUUUCC
Molecule: small RNA, 2283 nt
Filed under: Pan troglodytes (chimpanzee)
Lineage: Eukaryota; Metazoa; Chordata; Mammalia; Primates; Hominidae
Description: retained intron
Source: RNAcentral